This 482-nucleotide ribosomal RNA is filed under the name uncultured bacterium. RNAcentral describes it as "bacterial SSU rRNA". It matches the Rfam family "Bacterial small subunit ribosomal RNA", at positions 28 to 507 of the family's 1533-position model. The record is from RNAcentral.
GAUGAACGCUAGCGGGAGGCUUAAUACAUGCAAGUCGAGGGGUAACAGGGGCUUCGGCCCGCUGACGACCGGCGCACGGGUGAGUAACGCGUACGCAACUUACCUCCAAGCGAGGGAUAGCCCUGGGAAACUGGGAUUAAUACCUCAUGUGAUUAUGAUGCCGCAUGGUGUUAUAAUUAAAGUUCAGGCGCUUGGAGAUGGGCGUGCGUCCUAUUAGCUAGUUGGUGAGGUAACGGCUCACCAAGGCGACGAUAGGUAGGGGGCGUGAGAGCGUGGCCCCCCACACGGGUACUGAGACACGGACCCGACUCCUACGGGAGGCAGCAGUAAGGAAUAUUGGACAAUGGGCGCAAGCCUGAUCCAGCCAUCCCGCGUGCAGGAUGACAGCCCUACGGGUUGUAAACUGCUUUUGUACGGGAAGAAACACCCCCUCGUGAGGGGGCUUGACGGUACCGUAAGAAUAAGGAUCGGCUAACUCCGUG